AGUUUCAAGUUCUAAUUCAGUGACAUAGUCCUGAAAGAUUUGCCUCAUAAAGUACAAUAUGCUUCCUCCCUGCAGAAUGAAACUACAACAUCUGAAGGAAGUAUUCCUUGGCCUUUGAGACCAUGUUUGAAACUUGGCACCAUUACCUGGAGAAGCCAGGCAUCCAGUCAUGGCCUGCACCAAUCAUCACAAGUGGGAGGACCCCUGGAUGACCCAUAACCUCACCCAACACCAGAGAUGCUGAUCUCUUUCCUGCCUAUGGACUUCAGGACCCACUAACUAGAUCCUGAGCACCCAAAACUGGUGAGCUGAUGUACUAUAUCCUAAGUUUAAAAUUCUUACUCACCAGGUCAUGACACCCAAAAUCUUGGCUGUAAUCCACCCAUGGAAGAGCAACAUCAGGACUGCUGCUUUCAGCCACCGGUCCUGGUAUCACUGGAGCCAGCCUAUGAGGCUUGGAGGGACGGCCUACGCAGUGGAUGUCUUGCCUAUAUGUUCUGGUUGGGUGCAUUCACGCUGCACCGCAACAGCUUUGUCCUCCAGCUUCUACCUGUUCAAGAUUUACCACAAUCUCAACUAUGGGUCUUGGGACUUCUGAUGGCUAAGUGCCCAGAAAGAUGUGGAGGACCAGGGGGAAUGUGCCUUGGCAGAACUGAACCAGAAAAAGACAGAGGCCUCUUCCAACCCUUUUUGGAUCACUGGUGAUUGUGAUUAAUCAUCUUUGGAGAAUUUUAUCACGGAGCUCUCUACAUAUUAUUAAAAAACAUUAUCUUCAUAUUUACCAAAAUCAUCCACUUUUCUCCUUGCCAAUGGCCAUUCCCUUUACCCCCAGUGAUCAUCAAAUACCUACAUUUUGCACGGAUCCCUGACUAAGGUAGAGCCACCACAUUGAGUAAAUUUGUCAUUGUAAACAAAGAUCACUUGAACCAUGAGAUUACAUCCUGGAAUAACAGUGCCUGUGUAUACUCCCCCCACCAAAAUAACUUGAGUGUUCCUUAUACCCAGCUUCACAUUCAUCUACAAUACCUCUUCCAUGCAAAUCAAUUUCUUACAAGUAAAAUAUGGAAGCAUCCCAUGAAACAUCCCAACCCCUUGAGAAUUCAACCAAUUUUUGUUGAGGACAUAUUACGUGCCCAGCACUGUAAUAAAUUCUGAGAACAUCAUGAUGAAUAAGUCACAGGGCUUGCCCUAGAAAUUUUGUAUUCCAGAGUGGAAGUCAUACAAUUAAACAGCGUGGUAAGUGCUACAGCAUUGUAAUGAUGGCCACAAGAACUCCCUCAUCUCUGGAGCUCCUAAUUGUCCAGGCUGACUCACAGAUGAUCUUCUAAUAUGCCAAAGCAACCCGCAAGCAGCAAGCCCAGGGGAAUCCCUGCAAGUGGUGAUCCCAUGGAUUCUGGUUACUAAUAUAUUAUUUUUAAACCACCUGACUUUUAAACAAGCUAGAUGCUCACUUACUAAGCGCCUUCCCCGUUAUGGCAUCAAGCUGGUAGCCCUCAGGUUGUAGUUGCUGAAAGGUGGAAUCCAGCUGUGAAGUUGGAAGACAUGGCUUAAAGUUUGACUCCUGGCACUUAUCAUGACUCGGGGCACAUCACUUAAGAUCUCUAGUUUUUGGUGUCUUUCUUUGCAAAAUAAAAACGAAAACAUUAUAUGCUACACCUACCUCACAGGGUCGUUGUGAGAAUCACGUGACAGUGUAUGUGAAAGCACUAUGUAACUUGGUUAUUUUACAGUCGUCCCCUUUUCCCUACCAGAUACAGUACUAUAAUUUACCAGAAGGACAUACUCUUAUCCCUGAAUGGUACAAAGAAGAUUAAGUACAUGCAUUCCUGGAUAUCUGGCUUUAAAACGGGAAUUAUAAGGCCUCAAAGAUGAGAAGGAUAUAAUCCAGAGGACAGGGGACCAAAUUCAGGGCCCCACUGCCACACAGACAUUCCACCAUUAACACACCAUUAGAGCCACACACCAGUCAGCCCUCUUGGUGGGAAGUUUUCUCCAGGGCCCAUUGCAGAGAACCCACUCUUGGCUCCAGAAAACUAACCAGAUAGUAAUGAUUGAAGGAGUUACCUGGGCUCAGGAAUCACCAGCCACUCCAGGAGCGUGCAUGCCUCCCAUGAUAGAGCAGGUCUUGGUUAAAGGAGACACUGGCCCAAUUUAAAAAACACAAACCACUCUGACUGCUGACCUGUGAGAGUUGGGCCAGCAAGGGAAACUCUUAGACAUUCAUUUAAAGCAAAGACUUGGUGACACAUUUCCUCUUUAAGCACAUUUGGUGACGCUCGGGUCAACCUGGCUCUUGCCUUUCUGAUUUUGAGUUGUCGAUUCCUUGUCUGUCCAACAGACCUGUGUUAAGAUGUGUUCCCGGCUUACAAGUCAUACACACAAAACACACACACACACACACACACACACACACACACACACACACACAUACACACACACACCACUGAGGAAUCCAUGUGGCAAAGCUCCAGCCCGGUCUUCAAUUUUUGGUAAUUCACAAUGAAUUCUGGAUUGGCUGGUCUCAUUUGAGUUCAGUCUCACUAGAGCACUCUAGCCCAGGCUGGAACACUAACUCUCAGCCCACGGUAGAAGUUUAAGUAGAGUUCCUGUGGAGCCAUUGACAUCCAGUGAUCAUUUAUGGAAAAAAAA
Myotis davidii is the source of this 2649-nucleotide long non-coding RNA. RefSeq lists it as uncharacterized. The transcript has 2 exons. The record is from RefSeq and is a predicted model, not a curated record. NCBI's taxonomy places the organism in Eukaryota, Metazoa, Chordata, Mammalia, Chiroptera, Vespertilionidae.